This 244-nucleotide ribosomal RNA is filed under the name uncultured bacterium. RNAcentral describes it as "partial 16S ribosomal RNA". It matches the Rfam family "Bacterial small subunit ribosomal RNA", at positions 555 to 793 of the family's 1533-position model. The record is from RNAcentral.
UGGGCGUAAAGCGCAUGCAGGUGGUUUGUUAAGUCAGAUGUGAAAGCCCCGGGGCUCAACCUCGGAAUUGCAUUUUGAAACUGGCAAACUAGAGUACUGUAGAGGGGGUAGAAUUUCAGGUGUAGCGGUGAAAAUGCGUAGAGAUCUGAAGGAAUACCGGUGGCGAAGGCGGCCCCCCUGGACAGAUACUGACACUCAGAUGCGAAAGCGUGGGGAGCCAAACAGGAUUAGAUACCCCUGGUAG